AGCAGCCGCGGUAAUUCCAGCUCCAAUAGCGUAUAUUAAAGUUGUUGCAGUUAAAAGCUCGUAGUUGAAUUUCGGGAUCAAUAUGUUGGUCGUGCCUCGGUACGUACCAGCUUAUUGGUUUCUCCUUUCUGAAGAACCAUGAUGUCAUUUAUUUGGUGUCGUGGGGAAUCAGGACUGUUACUUUGAAAAAUUAGAGUGUUUAAAGCAGGCUCACGCUUGAAUACAUUAGCAUGGAAUAAUGAAAUAGGACGUUUGAUUCUAUUUUGUUGGUUUCUAGGAUCGACGUAAUGAUUAAUAGGGAUAGUUGGGGGCAUUAGUAUUCAAUUGUCAGAGGUGAAAUUCUUGGAUUUAUUGAAGACUAACUACUGCGAAAAGCAUUUGCCAAGGAUGUUUUCAUUAAUCAAGAACGAAAGUUAGGGGAUCGAAGACGAUCAGAUACCGUCGUAGUCUUAACCAUAAACUAUGCCGACUAGGGAUCGGAUGAUGUAAUUUUUAAUGUACUCAUUCGGCG
RNAcentral lists this ribosomal RNA (511 nucleotides) under uncultured Glomus. RNAcentral describes it as "SSU rRNA". It matches the Rfam family "Eukaryotic small subunit ribosomal RNA", at positions 569 to 1085 of the family's 1831-position model. The record is from RNAcentral. Lineage: Eukaryota; Fungi; Glomeromycota; Glomeromycetes; Glomerales; Glomeraceae.